AGAAAUUGAAGAAAAACAAACCCAACACUAACCAUAAAAGACAUCAUGAACUAAUAUCCUAGAUUUUGUAGGCACAUCCUACCUAGUAAUAAGUCCACAAAGGGCAUAAAACAGAGUCUAAUAGUUAUAGUAAAAUAGAUGGCCAUUCCUUCUGGCAUCUGCAUCCCUUUUCACUGAUAUGACCCAUUUGAGAGCAACACGAAUCUUAUACCACACUGCUUUGGUUUUGCCACUACUUGAUAUAUCCACAUCCAAAUUGAUGAAAGUAGAAUAGCUGCUAAAUUCUGCUCCAACAGGAGAACCAAAUAAAAUGCCAGUUGGCUCCCAUGUUGUGUAAGGAGGACAAUCAUCUAUGAAUUGAAUCUCUGAGCUUUCAUUCUCUGUUGAAUAACCACCUCGCACGAAUGGAAAUUGAGAUCCAUUAAGGUCACAACUAUCCUCUUCAGUGUACAUUUCAGAGGAAAGUUCAUCUAA
This 474-nucleotide long non-coding RNA is filed under the name Glycine max (soybean). RNAcentral's name for it is "long non-coding RNA (GMAX_LNC000836)". The record is from RNAcentral. Lineage: Eukaryota; Viridiplantae; Streptophyta; Magnoliopsida; Fabales; Fabaceae.